AGUGAACGCUGGCGGUAGGCCUAACACAUGCAAGUCGAACGGCAGCACAGUAAGAGCUUGCUCUUACGGGUGGCGAGUGGCGGACGGGUGAGGAAUACAUCGGAAUCUACUUUUUCGUGGGGGAUAACGUAGGGAAACUUACGCUAAUACCGCAUACGACCUACGGGUGAAAGCAGGGGAUCUUCGGACCUUGCGCGAUUGAAUGAGCCGAUGUCGGAUUAGCUAGUUGGCGGGGUAAAGGCCCACCAAGGCGACGAUCCGUAGCUGGUCUGAGAGGAUGAACAGCCACACUGGGACUGAGACACGGCGCAGACUCCUACGGGAGGGAGCAGUGGGGAAUGUUGGACAAUGGGCGCAAGCCAGAGCGAGCAACGCCGAGUGAGGGAAGAAGGUCUUCGGGAUGUAAAGUGCUUUUGUACGGGACGAAGCAGUGCGGGUGAAUACACGGGGGGCAUGACGGUACCGGAAGAAUAAGCACCGGCUAGCGACGUG
RNAcentral lists this ribosomal RNA (492 nucleotides) under uncultured bacterium. RNAcentral describes it as "partial 16S ribosomal RNA". It matches the Rfam family "Bacterial small subunit ribosomal RNA", at positions 30 to 507 of the family's 1533-position model. The record is from RNAcentral.